AGCAGUGGGGAAUUUUGGACAAUGGGCGAAAGCCUGAUCCAGCAAUGCCGCGUGUGUGAAGAAGGCCUUCGGGUUGUAAAGCACUUUUGUCCGGAAAGAAAUCCUUGGCUCUAAUACAGUCGGGGGAUGACGGUACCGGAAGAAUAAGCACCGGCUAACUACGUGCCAGCAGCCGCGGUAAUACGUAGGGUGCGAGCGUUAAUCGGAAUUACUGGGCGUAAAGCGUGCGCAGGCGGUUUGCUAAGACCGAUGUGAAAUCCCCGGGCUCAACCUGGGAACUGCAUUGGUGACUGGCAGGCUAGAGUAUGGCAGAGGGGGGUAGAAUUCCACGUGUAGCAGUGAAAUGCGUAGAGAUGUGGAGGAAUACCGAUGGCGAAGGCAGCCCCCUGGGCCAAUACUGACGCUCAUGCACGAAAGCGUGGGGAGCAAACAGGAUUAGAUACCCUGGUAGUCCACGCCCUAAACGAUGUCAACUAGUUGUUGGGGAUUCAUUUCCUUAGUAACGUAGCUAACGCGUGAGGUUGACCGCCUGGGGAGUACGGUCGCAAGAUUAAAACUCAAAGGAAUUGACGGGGACCCGCACAAGCGGUGGAUGAUGUGGAUUAAUUCGAUGCAACGCGAAAAACCUUACCUACCCUUGACAUGGUCGGAAUCCCGCUGAGAGGUGGGAGUGCUCGAAAGAGAACCGGCGCACAGGUGCUGCAUGGCUGUCGUCAGCUCGUGUCGUGAGAUGUUGGGUUAAGUCCCGCAACGAGCGCAACCCUUGUCCUUAGUUGCUACGCAAGAGCACUCUAAGGAGACUGCCGGUGACAAACCGGAGGAAGGUGGGGAUGACGUCAAGUCCUCAUGGCCCUUAUGGGUAGGGCUUCACACGUCAUACAAUGGUCGGAACAGAGGGUUGCCAACCCGCGAGGGGGAGCUAAUCCCAGAAAACCGAUCGUAGUCCGGAUUGCACUCUGCAACUCGAGUGCAUGAAGCUGGAAUCGCUAGUAAUCGCGGAUCAGCAUGCCGCGGUAGUACGUUCCCGGGCCUUGUACACACCGCC
This 1045-nucleotide ribosomal RNA is filed under the name uncultured Burkholderia sp. RNAcentral's name for it is "bacterial SSU rRNA". It matches the Rfam family "Bacterial small subunit ribosomal RNA", at positions 350 to 1394 of the family's 1533-position model. The record is from RNAcentral. Lineage: Bacteria; Pseudomonadati; Pseudomonadota; Betaproteobacteria; Burkholderiales; Burkholderiaceae.